This 161-nucleotide non-coding RNA is filed under the name Marinithermus hydrothermalis. RNAcentral also lists the same sequence under 1 other name. Lineage: Bacteria; Thermotogati; Deinococcota; Deinococci; Thermales; Thermaceae. The record is from RNAcentral.
CCCGGCCUUGAGGCCCCUGGUGCCUGGGCGCGUAGUCCAGGCUUAAAGUGGGGAAGUCCGGUGAAAGUCCGGCGCUGUCCCGCAACGGUAACCAGGCGAACCGUCGAAGCUUAGCGUCACUGCCUGGAAGCCCGAAUACCUGCCAGGGGAGCCCCCCGACC